CAGCCGCCGCGGUAAAACCAGCACCUCAAGUGGUCAGGAUGAUUAUUGGGCCUAAAGCAUCCGUAGCCGGCUCUGUAAGUUUUCGGUUAAAUCUGUACGCUCAACGUACAGGCUGCCGGGAAUACUGCAGAGCUAGGGAGUGGGAGAGGUAGACGGUACUCGGUAGGAAGGGGUAAAAUCCUUUGAUCUAUUGAUGACCACCUGUGGCGAAGGCGGUCUACCAGAACACGUCCGACGGUGAGGGGUGAAAGCUGGGGGAGCAGACCGGAUUAGAUACCCGGGUAGUCCCAGCUGUAAACUAUGCAAACUCAGUGAUGCAUUGGCUUGUGGCCAAUGCAGUGCUGCAGGGAAGCCGUUAAGUUUGCCUCCUGGGAAGUACGUACGCAAGUAUGAAACUUAAAGGAAUUGGCGGGGGAGCAC
RNAcentral lists this ribosomal RNA (420 nucleotides) under uncultured Nitrososphaerota archaeon. RNAcentral's name for it is "bacterial SSU rRNA". It matches the Rfam family "Archaeal small subunit ribosomal RNA", at positions 459 to 879 of the family's 1478-position model. Lineage: Archaea; Thermoproteati; Nitrososphaerota. The record is from RNAcentral.